AGUUGGCCAGAGAGACGAGAAACACCCAACCCUUAGUGCUUUCUUCUGAACAAUGGCUGAAUUCAUAGACAGUACUUCAAGUUAGUGUGGGAAAUAUUAUUCAUCUGUGCCAGAGAAAGAAGGAGCAACCCAUGUCUAUCAUUUUCACAGAGGGAAGUUGAAGCUGCACAUGUACUUGGACAUAGGGAAUGGUCAGAGAAAAGACAGAAAAAAGACAUCCCUUGGUCCUGGAGGCAUCUAUCAAAUAUCAAAGCGUGCUCCAGAGGCAUCCCAGCCUAGUGAGAACACCUCUACAUAGAAGUGUAUCCAGGGACCUAUUCUGUCACUGUAGGCGCAAAUUACUUAACCAAGAAGACUUAUGUGGUAGCAGUUGAUUGUAGACAAAGUGUGGACCUGGUCUUCCCCA
This 406-nucleotide long non-coding RNA is filed under the name Homo sapiens (human). Its description in RNAcentral is "non-protein coding lnc-MDN1-3:1". The record is from RNAcentral. Lineage: Eukaryota; Metazoa; Chordata; Mammalia; Primates; Hominidae.